ACAAAAAGUAAGUAAGGGCACAUGGCGGAUGCCUUGGCUCUCGGAGGCGAUGAAGGACGUGAUAAGCUGCGAUAAGCUGCGGGUAGGUGCAAAUGACCUUUGAUCCGCGGAUUUCCGAAUGGGACAACCCGGUACUUUGAAGAAGUAUCAUCCUGCAUUGCAGGAGGCUAACGCAGGGAACUGAAACAUCUUAGUACCUGCAGGAAAAGAAAAUAAACAAUGAUUCCCCCAGUAGUGGCGAGCGAACGGGGAAUAGCCCAAACCAUCCAUGUUACGGCAUGGGUGGGGUUGUAGGACCACGCCGUGGCAAGAAAGUUGGUGAGCAGAAUGUUCUGGAAAGUACAGCCAUAGAGCAUGACAGCUGCGUAUGCGAAGCCAACCGAAGCCUAGUGGUAUCCUGAGUAGCGCGGAGCACGAGGAAUUCUGCGUGAAUCUGCCGGGACCAUCCGGUAAGGCUAAAUACUCCCGAGAGACCGAUAGUGAACCAGUACUGUGAAGGAAAGGUGAAAAGCACUUCGAACAGAAGAGUGAAAUAGUUCCUGAAACCAUGUGCCUACAAGCGGUCGGAGCACCUUUUGGUGUGACGGCGUGCCUUUUGCAUAAUGAACCUACGAGUUACUUUUUCCGGCGAGGUUAAGGAUUUCAGAUCUGCAGCCGAAGCGAAAGCGAGUCUGAACAGGGCGUAUAGUCGGAAGGAGUAGACGCGAAACCAAGUGAUCUACCCUUGGGCAGGUUGAAGGAUGGGUAACACCAUCUGGAGGACCGAACCAAUAAGCGUUGAAAAGCUUCUGGAUGACCUGAGGGUGGGGGUGAAAGGCUAAUCAAACUUGGAGAUAGCUCGUACUCCCCGAAAUGCAUUUAGG
Molecule: ribosomal RNA, 863 nt
Filed under: Parabacteroides distasonis
Lineage: Bacteria; Pseudomonadati; Bacteroidota; Bacteroidia; Bacteroidales; Tannerellaceae
Description: partial 23S ribosomal RNA
Rfam family: Bacterial large subunit ribosomal RNA
Source: RNAcentral